Long non-coding RNA from Nothoprocta perdicaria, 1263 nucleotides. RefSeq lists it as uncharacterized. The transcript is spliced from 6 exons. Lineage: Eukaryota; Metazoa; Chordata; Aves; Tinamiformes; Tinamidae. The record is from RefSeq and is a predicted model, not a curated record.
UACCUUCUGCCUCGACACUGAAGUUGUAACGUUGGGUUUUGCAGGCAAUCUCUGAACAGAGCAAUAAUGUUUUAUCGAAAAGGAACCUUGAGCUGCUGUGACUUCAGAUACCAUUUGUCUUCAGGAUCCAUUUUCAUGUUCUGAAAUGGAGUAUUCAUACUGAGAAGACACUUGUGACUGAAAGAAUUAUUAGUUAAAAAUCAUCACGGUGAGAUGGUCAUGAAGGAAGUACUUAAUCCUUUGGGAAAGCUGAGCCUGACAUCUCUAAGGGUGACAGACCAGAACUAGGACAAUUUAGAGUUUAUUGCAAGCGUUUCAAAUGAAUCAUUUUGCCAAAUUUCAAAUCACUAGAUGAUGAUGCGGAUUCGGUUGCCCUUCAGAAAACUUAACAAUUUUCAAGUUUCUGCAUAGGUUUCCUGAACUGUAGCUGGACACAGCCUUGCAGUCAGGAAGAUGUUUUUGGUGGAACCAACUGCCUCACUGUAUUGAUGGUUUACUGGGCAGGCAAGGUAACCGAACUAACACAGAAAACUUGACUGAUGAACUGAGAAUCAUGAGCACGGAGUCAAGGAGCACCAUGUUACCCUCGCCGGUGCUCGCUGUCUGGUCUAUGAACCUGCUGGAUCCUAAGGCUUUGGACACCACUUCUUUGCUUCAGGUGUAAUGGGCAAUAACUGUGGACUCACUGCUAUAAGAAGGAAGAUCAACUACCCAAGACAGAUGCAUACAGCUUGGCUCCCUGGAGAUGGAAAGGCAGGGGAAGGAGUAAGAGGAAAAGGAUAUUAAGACUGUUUUUGUUUAACUGAAGCCACAGUACAGCCCUGGUCUCUUAGACAAUGACAAAUGCUGAACCUUUCAAAGUGACGCUUACAGACACUCRAUUCCAAUUUGCUCUUCAGCUCUAAAUCUACAAAAUCAUCUAGUGUAUUCUCCAAACUGACAUAGUUAGCCAUAUUAACACUUCUAUAAACCAUUUAUUGAUCCUUUCUAAAUUAGUUAUGUGUCUAUAUGACAAGUGGCACCUAAAUAAGCUUUUUCUCUGUCAGUACUUUCAACUGCAUCCGUGUAAGCAUUCGUGCCCUGGUAUCCUGUGUAUCAGAGACCAGAUGAUUUACACCAGUGAAAACAUGAUUAUUCAUAGCUGYGAUCCCACAGGUAAACAGAAAUAGGUGACCAUGUUUUUGAAACGAAUACAGAAAUAUGUGAUACGAUUGUAAUGAUUCAAAGCACAGAGUAUAAUUUUAGAGAGUUCUAUUGUGCUGA